Molecule: non-coding RNA, 72 nt
Organism: Heligmosomoides polygyrus
Lineage: Eukaryota; Metazoa; Nematoda; Chromadorea; Rhabditida; Heligmosomidae
Source: Rfam
GGUCCCGUAGUGUAGCGGUUAACACCCUGGACUUUGAAUCCAGUAACGCGAGUUCGAAUCUCGCCGGGACCU